UACGAAGGGGGCUAGCGUUGCUCGGAAUGACUGGGCGUAAAGGGCGCGUAGGCGGAUGGCACAGUCAGAUGUGAAAUUCCCGGGCUUAACCUGGGGGCUGCAUUUGAUACGUGUUGUCUAGAGUGAGGAAGAGGGUUGUGGAAUUCCCAGUGUAGAGGUGAAAUUCGUAGAUAUUGGGAAGAACACCAGAGGCGAAGGCGGUUUCCUGGGCCAACACUGACGCUGAGGCGCGAAAGCGUGGGGAGCAAACAGG
This 253-nucleotide ribosomal RNA is filed under the name uncultured bacterium. Its description in RNAcentral is "partial 16S ribosomal RNA". It matches the Rfam family "Bacterial small subunit ribosomal RNA", at positions 524 to 776 of the family's 1533-position model. The record is from RNAcentral.